Molecule: ribosomal RNA, 465 nt
Filed under: uncultured bacterium
Lineage: Bacteria
Description: partial 16S ribosomal RNA
Rfam family: Bacterial small subunit ribosomal RNA
Source: RNAcentral
CCUACGGGUGGCAGCAGUAGGGAAUCUUCCACAAUGGACGAAAGUCUGAUGGAGCAACGCCGCGUGAGGGAAGAAGGGUUUCGGCUCGUAAAGCUCUGGUGGUAGUGAAGAAAGUUAGAGGUAGUAACUGGCCUUUAUUUGACGGUACUUACUUAGAAAGUCACGGCUAACUACGUGCCAGCAGCCGCGGUAAUACGUAGGUGGCAAGCGUUGUCCGGAGUUAUUGGGCGUAAGGCGAGUGCAGGCGGUUCAAUAAGUCUGAUGUGAAAGCCGCCGGCUCAACCGGAGAAUGGCACCAGAAACUGUUGAACUUGAGUGAAGAAGAGGAGAGUGGAACUCCAGGUGUAGCGGUGGAAUGCGUAGAUAUAUGGAAGAACACUAGUGGCGAAGGCGGCUCUCUGGUCUGCAACUGACGCUGAGGCUCGAAGGCAUGGGUAGCGAACAGGAUUAGAUACCCUAGUAGUC